This 465-nucleotide ribosomal RNA is filed under the name Vreelandella stevensii. RNAcentral describes it as "partial 16S ribosomal RNA". It matches the Rfam family "Bacterial small subunit ribosomal RNA", at positions 338 to 795 of the family's 1533-position model. Lineage: Bacteria; Pseudomonadati; Pseudomonadota; Gammaproteobacteria; Oceanospirillales; Halomonadaceae. The record is from RNAcentral.
CCUACGGGGGGCAGCAGUGGGGAAUAUUGGACAAUGGGGGCAACCCUGAUCCAGCCAUGCCGCGUGUGUGAAGAAGGCCCUCGGGUUGUAAAGCACUUUCAGUGAGGAAGAACGCCUGGUGGUUAAUACCCAUCAGGAAAGACAUCACUCACAGAAGAAGCACCGGCUAACUCCGUGCCAGCAGCCGCGGUAAUACGGAGGGUGCGAGCGUUAAUCGGAAUUACUGGGCGUAAAGCGCGCGUAGGUGGCUUGAUAAGCCGGUUGUGAAAGCCCCGGGCUCAACCUGGGAACGGCAUCCGGAACUGUCAAGCUAGAGUGCAGGAGAGGAAGGUAGAGUUCCCGGUGUAGCGGUGAAAUGCGUAGAGAUCGGGAGGAAUACCAGUGGCGAAGGCGGCCUUCUGGACUGACACUGACACUGAGGUGCGAAAGCGUGGGUAGCAAACAGGAUUAGAUACCCGAGUAGUC